This 510-nucleotide ribosomal RNA is filed under the name uncultured bacterium. RNAcentral describes it as "bacterial SSU rRNA". It matches the Rfam family "Bacterial small subunit ribosomal RNA", at positions 501 to 1013 of the family's 1533-position model. The record is from RNAcentral.
CUACGUGCCAGCAGCCGCGGUAAUACGGAAGGUCCGGGCGUUAUCCGGAUUUAUUGGGUUUAAAGGGAGCGUAGGCUGGAGAUUAAGUGUGUUGUGAAAUGUAGACGCUCAACGUCUGACUUGCAGCGCAUACUGGUUUCCUUGAGUACGCACAACGUUGGCGGAAUUCGUCGUGUAGCGGUGAAAUGCUUAGAUAUGACGAAGAACUCCGAUUGCGAAGGCAGCUGACGGGAGCGCAACUGACGCUGAAGCUCGAAGGUGCGGGUAUCGAACAGGAUUAGAUACCCUGGUAGUCCGCACAGUAAACGAUGGAUGCCCGCUGUUGGUACCUGGUAUCAGCGGCUAAGCGAAAGCAUUAAGCAUCCCACCUGGGGAGUACGCCGGCAACGGUGAAACUCAAAGGAAUUGACGGGGGCCCGCACAAGCGGAGGAACAUGUGGUUUAAUUCGAUGAUACGCGAGGAACCUUACCCGGGCUUGAAUUGCAGAGGAAGGAUUUAGAGAUAAGACG